Molecule: unclassified non-coding RNA, 707 nt
Filed under: Zea mays
Lineage: Eukaryota; Viridiplantae; Streptophyta; Magnoliopsida; Poales; Poaceae
Description: misc RNA Zm00001eb142390
Source: RNAcentral
CCCUGCGCGGUUGCUCUUUUCCCUUUUUCUAUUUCGCGAGCGUGGGUUUGCAAUUCCCCGCGCCGCCGUGCGUCCCCGGCAAUGGGAAGCUCACUCUGAUGAUCGCUGGUCGGCUCCUCUCACUCGCAGCCAUCUCUCUCUCCGCCACCCGUCCUCAUUUGCCCCCGAACACUGUGACACCAUCUGCUGCGCACGCACCCUUUCUCAAUGGCCGAAGCGAAGAGGGGGAUGGGAAGGAUCCGUGCAGAGAAAAGUCUUCGUGAUAAUGGCUUCUAGCCUUCUGGAAUAUUUACCACCUGCGGCCAAGCGUGUGAAAAUUGCUCGGAAAGAUUGGCAAGCUGAAUGACCGAAGGGGAUAAGAUCAUUGACCGUGUGCGCAAGUCUGGUUGCUCUCUCAGGUGUCCCUAUCAGGGCUUAGAAAGGACGUGUUUGGACUUGGACGAACUCAAGGAGAACUACAUAAUGACGAUUUAGUGACGGGGUUUUUUUAAGAAGGGUUUAGUGAUGACUUGUUACAUGCAGCUUUCGGCUCCAGGACUUGGGUUUGGUAAGCUGUUUCUCUGUUAAGUCUGCUAUUGGGGGUACAGAUCCAAUGCACCGAAUGAUCAACAGAACCAUAAACGUCGGGCUGGUUUGGUAACUUAGCCAGACCUGUGGGCAGCCCAUCCCCUGAGGCGUUUUAUUGGGCCUCACCUUUUUUUCCCCCA